AGAACGAACGCUGGCGGCAGGCCUAAAACAUGCAAGUCGAACGCUCUAGCAAUAGAGAGUGGCGCACGGGUGAGUAACAUGUGGGAAUAUGCCUUUUGGUACGGAACAACUUUUGGAAACGAAAGCUAAUACCGUAUGGUCCCUUCGGGGUAAAGAUUUAUCGCCAAAAGAGUAGCCCGCAUUGGAUUAGCUAGUUGGUAAGGUAAUGGCUUACCAAGGCGACGAUCCAUAGCUGGUCUGAGAGGACGAUCAGCCACACUGGGACUGAGACACGGCCCAGACUCCUACGGGAGGCAGCAGUGGGGAAUCUUGCGCAAUGGGCGAAAGCCUGACGCAGCAACGCCGCGUGGAGGACGAAUGCUUUCUGAGUUGUAAACUCCUUUCAGCAGGGACGAUUGUGACGGUACCUGCAGAAGAAGCACCGGCCAACUACGUGCCAGCAGCCGC
This 447-nucleotide ribosomal RNA is filed under the name uncultured bacterium. Its description in RNAcentral is "SSU rRNA". It matches the Rfam family "Bacterial small subunit ribosomal RNA", at positions 26 to 518 of the family's 1533-position model. The record is from RNAcentral.